GACCAGACUCCUACGGGAGGCAGCAGUGGGGGAUAUUGCACAAUGGGGGGAACCCUGAUGCAGCGACGCCGCGUGGGUGAAGGAGUAUUUCGGUAUGUAAAGCCCUAUCGGCAGGGAAGAAGCAAGACGGUACCUGACUAAGAAGCCCCGGCUAACUACGUGCCAGCAGCCGCGGUAAUACGUAGGGGGCAAGCGUUAUCCGGAUUCACUGGGUGUAAAGGGAGCGUAGACGGCGACGCAAGUCUGGAGUGAAAGCCCGGGGCCCAACCCCGGGACUGCUCUGGAAACUGCGGCGCUGGAGUACGGGAGGGGCAGGCGGAAUUCCUGGUGUAGCGGUGAAAUGCGCAGAUAUUAGGAGGAACACCAGUGGCGAAGGCGGCUUACUGGACUGUAACUGACGUUGAGGCUCGAAAGCGUGGGGAGCAAACAGGAUUAGAUACCCCGGUA
Molecule: ribosomal RNA, 447 nt
Filed under: uncultured bacterium
Lineage: Bacteria
Description: partial 16S ribosomal RNA
Rfam family: Bacterial small subunit ribosomal RNA
Source: RNAcentral